AUGCGAUACGUAAUGUGAAUUGCAGAAUUCAGUGAAUCAUCGAAUCUUUGAACGCAUAUUGCGCUCUUUGGUAUUCCGAAGAGCAUGCUUGUUUGAGUAUCAGUAAACACCUCAAAACUCUUGAUCUUUUUCAAGCGUUUUGGACUUGAGCAAACCCAACGCCUUUUCUUUUAAGAUCUGUUGCGGCGGGUUGCUUGAAAUGCAGGUGCAGCUGGACAAUCUCCUGAGCUAAAAGCAUAUUUAUUUAGUCCCGUCAAACGGAUUAUUACUUUUUGCUGCAGCUAACAUAAAGGGAAUUUUGACCAUUAUGGCUGACUGAUGCAGGAUUUCACAGAGAAAAGGCCGGCAACGGUUUUGUCUCUGUCAAACUCGAUCUCAAAUCAAGUAAGACUACCCGCUGAACUUAA
RNAcentral lists this unclassified non-coding RNA (407 nucleotides) under uncultured Mortierella. RNAcentral describes it as "partial contains 5.8S ribosomal RNA, internal transcribed spacer 2, and large subunit ribosomal RNA". The stretch from base 1 to 102 matches the Rfam family "5.8S ribosomal RNA", at positions 53 to 154 of the family's 154-position model. The record is from RNAcentral. Lineage: Eukaryota; Fungi; Mortierellomycota; Mortierellomycetes; Mortierellales; Mortierellaceae.